This 1983-nucleotide ribosomal RNA is filed under the name Triticum aestivum (bread wheat). RNAcentral's name for it is "partial small subunit ribosomal RNA". Lineage: Eukaryota; Viridiplantae; Streptophyta; Magnoliopsida; Poales; Poaceae. The record is from RNAcentral.
AUGAUGUGCUCUGUCACAUGGAUAUUCGAAACCGAGGUACAGAAAGUAGCACAUGUGAUGGAGGACAUGGUGGAUGAGUACUUAUAUCUAGUUGGUCAGGAACAUGAUAUGGGCUCUUGUUUUUACCUGAAAAAGGGCUUCAGAAAAUCCAGAUCUCUGCUUUCUAUGAACCAGUUAGCUUUCAAGGUGAAGGAAAUAGAGAAAGACCUUAGUCACCUAUCAGAGACAAACAAACGUUGGGUUCCCAUGACAAUCAGCGGGGCCACCAGCAGCUGUGAUUACAUUGUCAAGAGGGGCCAAGAUCUAGCAAAUAUUUCACGUUCCCUUGAUGAAGAAGAUCUUGUGGGGGUGGAUGAAAACAGAGAAAAACUUGAGCAGUGGUUGGCAGAUGAUGAUUUGGAACGCUCGGUCAUAGCGCUGCUUGGAAUGGGAGGGCUUGGUAAAACAACUUUAGCUGCAAAUGUCUACAGAAAUGAGAGAAAUAAAUUCCAAUGCCAUGCCUGGGUCUCCAUCUCUCAAACUUAUUCUAGAGAAGCUGUCUUGAGGAAUAUAUGCAAGGAACUUUUGAAAGAUGAUGUCAGUGUUCUAUCUAAAUCUGCAGCUAUGGACAUCACAUGCCUUGAAGAGACGCUGAAGAGUUUUCUGGAGCAACGAAAGUACUUGAUCAUAUUCGACGAUGUUUGGACUCCAGAAACAUUUGAUGAUUUGUCUAGGAUGCUCAUUCAUAAUGAUAAGGGAAGUAGACUGAUAAUCACAACCAGGGAAGGCGAUGUUGCUGCACUUGCCUCUCCACGACAUAUCUUAACACUAGAAGCUUUACCAGAAGAUAAGGCAUGGGAUCUCUUUUGUAAAAAUAUAUUUCCAAAAGAAACAAAUCAUGAUUGUCAUGCGGAGCUAAAGCCUUUGUCCAGAGAAUUAGUUGGCAGCCUAUUUCCAGAAGACUAUCUUCUCAAAAGGAAACAACUUGUAAGGUUAUGGAUAGCAGAGGGGUUCAUCGAGGGGAGGGGUGGAAGCACAUUAGAAGAAGUAGCAGAAGGCUAUCUGAAGGAGUUGGUUGAUAGAAACAUGCUACAACUUGUCGAGAUGAACUCAUUUGGUAGGAUAAAAGAAUUCAAAAUGCACGAUAUAUUACGUGAACUGGCAGUUGAUUUGUGCCAGAAGAACUGUUUUGGCGUUACACAAGAGGCUAAAUGUGAGGGGUCUCUUGAGAUGGAUGGACGCCGAUUGAUACUUGACAAAAUAAACAAUGAUGUUCAACAGUCAUUUUCUGGUUUACACCAACUUCGAAGUGUGAUUACAUCAGGCCAUGGUAAGUCACCAUUCACUCUACUACCUCUCCUAUGCAAGGAGUCAAGAUAUAUGACAGUGCUAGAAUUAAGUGGUAUACCCAUCAAGAAGAUUCCAGAUGCUAUUGGAGAUCUUUUUAAUCUCCGCCAUUUGGGUUUGCGUAAUUCAAAGGUGAAAAUGCUCCCGAGGUCUGUUGAGAAGCUUUCAAAUUUGUUGACAGUAGACCUUUGUAAAUCUGACAUACAUGAGUUGCCUAGUGGGAUUGUGAAACUUAAGAAGCUCAGGCACUUAUUUGUUGAGAAAAUAAUGGAUCCAGAUUGGAGAAACAUCAAUCAUCUCAGUGGUAUGUGUAUCCCCAAUGGACUCGGGAAUCUAACAAACCUGCAAACGCUACAAGCAUUGCAAGUACAGGAUGAGUCCCUUAGACAUCUAGGGGAGCUGAGGCAACUGAAAAGCUUGAGGUUAUUGAAUGUGAAGGGAAUCUACUGCGGACGCAUCAGUGAAUCUCUAGUUCAAAUGCGGCAUUUGUCCUUGCUAUCUGUGAAUGCAAGUGAUGGAAAUGAGGUUCUCUUGUUGAAUGUUCUCCUGCCAAGCCUGCAAAAGCUAAGAUUGAGAGGACGGCUAGCGGAAGCUGACAGAAGACCCCUUGCCAUCCCUUUCUCGGUUGUCAAGCUUGACGCGUCUACAUUUCACUAG